CGUUAUUACAGGCAUGUAAGCAAUUUGAGUUAAUUGUAUCCCAUUAGCAGUUAAUUGAGUAGCGUGGCUGGAGAACAACGCGUGGCUGGAGGAACAAUUGAAAAAUGGAUAAGAUAAUAAAACAAAAAAAUGAUCAAAUUAUGAAGCUGCAGGCCCAGUUAUUGGAACAACACAAAAUAUUAGAUAACAAAGCUAAGGAUCGUAGGCCUAACACGUAAUGAUUCUAUUCAUUUGCUUUUAUUCAUUCGUGUUUUGUAGCUCAAAUUUUGAGUCUUCAAGCUCAGCUAGGGGAAAAGAACAAAUUGGAACGGAACAGUUUCCAAACAGUGAAGGAGGUUUUUCAAAACUCAUCUGUAACUGAACGUGAGGAUGAGUUGGCAUUAGGCGAACACAGCCAGUUAUUCAGUCCACCACAUGACAGUGUGUUAAAUUUAAAUUCUGUUAGUGCUGCACUAAAGGAAUUGUUAGUAAUAAGCUCAUGCAGUGAAGGAACUGAAUAAUUGUGGGAACGUAUUUGGGCCAAAAAUGGGUGUGGUACAGAAACCCAGAAAUGGCACGAGUUCAACAUGA
Daphnia carinata is the source of this 570-nucleotide long non-coding RNA. RefSeq lists it as uncharacterized. The transcript has 3 exons. Lineage: Eukaryota; Metazoa; Arthropoda; Branchiopoda; Diplostraca; Daphniidae. The record is from RefSeq and is a predicted model, not a curated record.